CAGGAUGAGGAGCUGCCCCCCUGGAGGAUCACGCAGGCCUCUGGGUGGCAUUCAGCAGGGUUGGCUGCGGCACCGGCUGACCACAGGGCCCAACUUUCCAGUCCCAGCCGGAGGGAAGCGUCUCAACCAUGUUGUAGGCACACGGGUGAGGGUGCUGCCUGCCUCCCUGACUCUUACCUCCCCAAGAGAGGAAAACAAAAGAAAAAAAGAUAAGACCAGGAAAUGGAAAUAAGACAAAGAAGAAUGAAAUUUUAAAAUCCGAACAAACCCAAACAUGCUGUUUCAAAACAGAUUCACCAGAGAUGCAGAGGCGGAGGAUACGUUCCUGUUUACAUUGAUACAUAGUUACAUAGGUGAAGAGCUUUACAGCGAGGAAGCGGCUCACGCGGCCAUGAGGGACCCAGGCAGGAGCUGCUGUUGCUGCCCCAGCAACUCCACGAGUGCUCGAUGGGAAACUGCAGACAGCAGCCUUGCCAAGCGGAUGCCCAGGGCCGACCACCGCAGCCCCUCCAGCCACGUUCUCCAUCAGGGCAGCCUCCUGCUGGCUUCGGCACUGCAGGCAGCACACCAGCGAGGGGUGGGGCUGUGUGCCACGAAGCGUCAUCCAUGGACAUGCCACGAAGGGUUAUUCUUCUUUUGACUUUUUCUGAUGGUUUAAAACUGUAAGAACAUGCAGCUCACAGUCCGCACGGAAGCAGGCAUGUGGCUCCUGCCUCACUGUGGGAGGAAAGAUGUUCUCUAAAGAAAUGGCUGGGUUUGCGGAGGGGUUUGUGGAGGGCCGGGCAGUCUGAACACAGCCCAGCUGGCCUUGGUGGAGGUGGGGCUGGCACAGGGGGGUGGGGGCAGUUCUUCCUGACGCAAAUCCUAACGCCUUCAACACUGACCUUCCAAAGAAACAGCUGCUGGACGCUGCCCGACAGCAACGAGAGCCCCGCUCCUAAGGCGCGCGACUCUCGAGGGCUUUGUUGUUUAUUUGGCACCCGAGGCCCAGGCUCACAGGGUCUCGGGUGCAUGGGACCCCCCAGCCCUUCCCACUGCUCUGCGAUUCUUCCUCCCUUCUGGAAAGGCUGUUUGUGGGAGAACGGGAAACAGUCCCAGAGAUGACGCUGCCUCAUGCAGGUUAACAGAGUUGGAGGUCAGGCCGACGCCUGAGGCUCAGGACGCUGAUGGGCGCCUUCCCUCACCAGGGGUGAGCCCCCAGCCCCGUCUUCCCUCGCCGGGGUGAGCCCCUCCCCAGCCCCGAGUUUGGAGGGGCCGUGGCUGCCGGGGACUCGCGUGAGGAGCUUGCUGUAAAUACGGAGCUCUGGAGCAACAAUGGCCUCACGCCGCUGGCAUCUCGGGCAGGACCUGCCUCUUUUUGGAACACUUUCGAGAUCUUUGCGUUUGUUCGUUUCCAG
RNAcentral lists this long non-coding RNA (1397 nucleotides) under Pan troglodytes (chimpanzee). RNAcentral's name for it is "long non-coding RNA NONPTRT002422". Lineage: Eukaryota; Metazoa; Chordata; Mammalia; Primates; Hominidae. The record is from RNAcentral.